This 636-nucleotide ribosomal RNA is filed under the name Auricularia polytricha. RNAcentral describes it as "eukaryotic LSU rRNA". The stretch from base 224 to 377 matches the Rfam family "5.8S ribosomal RNA". The record is from RNAcentral. Lineage: Eukaryota; Fungi; Basidiomycota; Agaricomycetes; Auriculariales; Auriculariaceae.
UUGAAGUAUAAAAAUCGUAACAAGGUUUCCGUAGGUGAACCUGCGGAAGGAUCAUUAAAGAUUUUGGGCUUUUAACCCGAUCGUUCAGCUGUGCGCCCUUCACAGGGCUGCACGCUGGAGCAAGACCCCACACCUGUGCACCUUUUCGGUUGCGGCUUCGGUCGCUGCCGCUUUCAAAUGCAACAACUCAGUCUCGAAUGUUAACAAAACCAUAAAAAGUAACAACUUUCAACAACGGAUCUCUUGGCUCUCGCAUCGAUGAAGAACGCAGCGAAAUGCGAUAAGUAAUGUGAAUUGCAGAAUUCAGUGAAUCAUCGAAUCUUUGAACGCAUCUUGCGCUCCUUGGUAUUCCAUGGAGCAUGCCUGUUUGAGUGUCACGUAAACCCUCACCCUUGCGAUGUAACAGUCGCCCGUGGUGGACUUGGACUGUGCCGUAACCGGCUCGUCUUGAAAUGCAUUAGCUGGCGCUUUUAGAGUGCUGGGCGACGGUGUGAUAAUUAUCUGCGCCAAUGCCUUAGGCCUCUUCAGCGGUGCUGCUUACAGCCGUCCCUCUGUGGACACAUUAUUUUUAAAGCUUUGGCCUCAAAUCAGGUAGGACUACCCGCUGAACUUAAGCAUAUCAAAGGCGGGAAGGAA